UUGGAUGAAAUCAAUGUAGUACCUACACUUUGAAAAUGAAACCCACAUAUAAAGUGGUGAGACAUACAUUGAUUUCACCCAA
Molecule: microRNA precursor, 82 nt
Filed under: Medicago truncatula (barrel medic)
Lineage: Eukaryota; Viridiplantae; Streptophyta; Magnoliopsida; Fabales; Fabaceae
Description: MIR5269 microRNA precursor family
Rfam family: MIR5269 microRNA precursor family
Source: Rfam by way of RNAcentral